AGGACGAACGCUGGCGGCGUGCUUAACACAUGCAAGUGGAGCGACGAACCAGGCUUCGGCCUGGGGCAGAGCCGCGAACGGGUGAGUAACACGUGGGUAACCUGCCCUGAUGAUUGGGACAACCCGAGGAAACUCGGGCUAAUACCAAAUGUGCCCUCUGGCCUCAAGGCCUCUGGGGAAAGGAAGCUUCGGCCUCCGCAUUGGGAUGGGCCCGCGGCCCAUUAGCUUGGUUGGGGGGGUAACGCCCACCGAAGGCGACGACGGGUA
Molecule: ribosomal RNA, 267 nt
Filed under: uncultured bacterium
Lineage: Bacteria
Description: partial small subunit ribosomal RNA
Rfam family: Bacterial small subunit ribosomal RNA
Source: RNAcentral